This 3895-nucleotide long non-coding RNA is filed under the name Durio zibethinus. Its description in RNAcentral is "long non-coding RNA (DZIB_LNC001492)". Lineage: Eukaryota; Viridiplantae; Streptophyta; Magnoliopsida; Malvales; Malvaceae. The record is from RNAcentral.
CAAUUUUUGUAGGUAUAUUCAAUCAUAUUGGAGUUUAGCUACUUUGAUUGAACUCACUUGGACCCUUGGCUGGGCUCAUCAUCAAACAAAAUUCUUCUCUCUCUCUCUCUCUCUCUCUCUCUGCAUCACCCCAGAAUUAAGUUUUCUAAUUUGGCCUCCAAAAUAAAUUGUUUCAUUCUUUUUAAUUAAUGGUUUUGGGGAAACGAAAAAAAAAUGGUUAGUCACAACUCACAUCUUUCUUCGAAAUCUUGGUUUUCCUAACAGUUAGAUUAGGGAUAAAAAUAUGGUUUAGACAAAAAUACAACCAAAGGGAAAAAGACGUUGGUUGAGCAACUUAGGAUGACUAAGCUCAAAGACAAAUCUUUUCUUCCUUGUCUAGUGUUAGUUAUUAUGAUCUUAUCUGUCUUGCUUUUCCCAUUUUCAAUUGUUGUAGUGGUAAACUUUAAUUUAAGAAAGCUUUCCUGAUAAACUGGGAUUUGGGUUUUUUUUUUUUUUUUGUCACUUUUGUGGUAGAUUAUCAAGAGUUCUUACAUGAGCUACGAAUAAAUCGUGAUAUAAAUUGGAAUUUACCAUAGUAAAAGAAUUCAAUCAACCCUUGUUAUUUUAUGUGAAAAAAGCUCGAAUUAGUUUUGUAUUGAAGUCCCCAAUUUCUUACAGCGCUAAGGACAAUUAUCUAUUGUAGAGAAAAAAAAAAAAGAAGAAAACUGUUCUCAAGUCCUUUAAUUUUUUUAAAGGGUAUUCUAUACUAAGGAUAAAAACAUGUCGUUUGUUAAAUUUUUAUAUUUUAUAAAUCAUUUAUAAAAAAAUUAUUAAUAAAAAAAUUGAAUUUAGAUUUUAUAAACGAAAAUUUUCUACGUCAAACUUUUUAUUUUUUAUUUUUGAGGCAAUCUCCUUUAUUAUUAUGUCAUGAAUCUACAAACUCGUUAUUGUAAUAUAUAAGAAUUUUUUUGCCCAAAAUACAAUAUAAGAAUUUGAUCAACAAAUUAUUGCGGCAACAUAUAAAGCCAAUAAUUGAGACAAUAAUAUUGAUAUAGAAUACCAUAUUUUUCAAAAGCUAUUGAUAUUAGAAAACAAAGUUGAUUAAAGAAAAAAAAAAGUUGAAAUUAAAGUAUGGUGUCUCCACGUAAUCCCCUAUGAUUGGAAACUUUAUAAUCAAAGAGGGCGGCCCGACUUGCUACAAUGCUUGACUUUGAGAUGAGUGGUCCAAAUUAUCUAUGGGUAGCACUGGAAAAACCAGAAAUUCCUUUUCUUCCUUUUAAUUUGCUUAUAAAUUGACCACAAACAUAUGCACAAAAAUGAAAUAGAGUCAUUUUUUAAUCCUCAGUAAAGGCUGCCCUAUUAAUUUAUUUAUUUAAAUCUUUUAAUAUGUAUUUGGUACAUAAGGUUAUAAUAAAAUAAAAUAAAGUAAUAUUAUAAUUAAUGUUAAAUUAAAUAAUAUCAUAUUAUUUUUUAAUAUAUAUAAAAAUUAAGAUAAAAUAAUUUAUUUAUUAAUCAAAAUUAUUAUUUUUUAAGUCUAUAUUAUUUAAAUUAUUGUAAUUUUUAAAGAUAUAAUAUAAUAUAUAAAUUUAAUCUCAUGGAUUAAAUAUAAUUAUUUUCGCUUUAGGAUGAUUAAAUUACUCUAUGUCAAGAAAAUGAUUAAUUCUUCUUACAAUCUUAUCUAUUUGUUUAAAUACAAAUAAAUUAUAGUAUAAAAUGAUUGUUAUCCAUACAUCAACCAUGAUCUUAGAGAAUUAAUUUAGAUUAAAAUAAUAAAAAAAUUUUAAAAUUUAGAAUUUUACUCUAAAAACUUAUAUACUUUUAUUACACCUAAAUAAAUAUUUAAUAUUUAAUUAACACCCAAAUAAGUCAUUAACAUUUAAUUUAUACCCAAAUAAUCUAUUAACUUUUAAUUUGUACUUAAAUAAACUCUUAAUAUAAAUUAAUCUUUCAUUUGAAAUAAGAUUUAUUUUGAUACAAUUAAAAAAUAGAUAUUUCUUUGGCUAUAAUAAAAGUAUAAGAAUUUAUUUAUAAAAGUAGAAUAGUUUAAGGUUUUUUAGUAUUUUAGCUUAAAUUUACAUAAUUGAAGGUUCUUUAUUUUUUUUUUUUUAUAUUUAAAAUUAUCAAAAUUUUAAUUUUACCAUUGAAACUAAAAAUUUAGUAUUCUUUUUAUAAUUUGAUUAGAAUAUCUCAAGUUUUAUUUGAAUCUAAUUUUUUAAGCAAUUUUAAAGGCCUACUCCCAUGUAUCAAUAUGGUGCACUUAAACUGUUAUUUUCACAUAUUUCUCACAAAAAAUCCAAUCUUGAUUAAAAAAAAAAUUUUCUCUCGUUUUUUCUUUUUUUUUUUUUUGAGUUUACAACAUUGAACAUCAAAGGGGCUUUCCUUGGGAUAUAACCACACAUUUUGAUAUGCAUAAAAUGCAAAAUUAAUAUAAUUGGAUAAAUAAAAACUCCACUAGUUUAAAAGGAUAACUUGAAGUACACAACGACAGAAACUUUUAGCAAUUUUAUCCAUACUAGGUUGAUCAUGUAAUAAAAGUAUAUUUGAAUGAAUGAAACGCUGCAAUAAAAAUAUGGAUCCAAUAAAAAAAAAUCAAUACAUUGAUUAAUAAGAACUUUCACUACGAUGCAUUGAUUAUCUAAAUAUAACUUUAAAUUUAUUGGCAAAAAAUUCAAAAAUUAAAAUUUAAAACUCAAAAUUUAAUUUAAUGAUUCAUAAAACUACUUUUAAAAUAUAAUAUUUAAUAUUUAAAAUUUAAAUAUUAAUAUUUAUAAUUUUUCAUUUUCAAACUAUGAUUUUUUAAAAAAUUAUCAAAUCCAAAACCUUAAACUUCUUUAAAAUUUAAAAGAAAAGGUACCACCACUUAAAUGGUCGUUGGGUUAAAGUAUGAUCCAUUUUGUUUUCACAAUUAAACAGAAAACCUUUGGGAAGAGGAAAGGGAUAAAAUCAAAUCCAACACCACCACACGGUGCAAUGGCUUUCUUUGUAAAAUCUGUGUUCACACAGCCAAUGAGAUUUUACUUACUAUUUAUUCAAUCUCAAGCUGAUAGAAGCAGUGGCAAUAGUCAUGCAGUUAGCUCAAAGAUUCCUGGAAGUUCAGUUCACCUUCAAGAUAACAAUACUUUUUUAUGCCAUUCCCUCCUUUUUCUCCGUUGAGAGAAUAAAAGGAGAGAACCCUUUGUUUUUUUCUUGCACACAAAGCAAAAUGGCCCCAAACCUUGACUUUUCAAUUGCCAUCUUAGGCUUUGCUUCAUCCCCCCCACCUUUUUCUCUCCUCUUUCUCUCUCUCAUCAUCCAAAGAAUAAAAGACAAAAACCCGAUUAAGUACCUUCACGUGUCCGUGCAAAGCUAGCUUUUAUAUUUUGUCCUGAGAUAAGGUUGUUUUAUGAUUGGAAAAAAUAUUUGUGUCUGACAUUAUUAAAAUACAUUGGAUAUGGUCUAGAAUUCAAAUGGUUAAGAAAUUGGUUGGUGAGUCGGGGAUUUUGUGGUCCAUUUCUUUCUUACUUUGUUCUUUUCUUCGAUAUAUAUAUAUAAAUAAAUGUUAGGGUGGGGAUAUGCUGCCAGGUUUAUGCCUUGUCGAUAAGAUUGGUAAGAGUCAAACUUAUCCUGACUAUGGUUUAAUAACAAAUUAUAUGGAUAAAUGAUGAUAAGUUUGAUAUGUAUUUGUACAUUUUAACAAUUGUUUAGAUUCUCACAUAAAAAUAAUAUUUUAGAUCCAAAUUAAGGCUUUUCAUAUGGAAUAAAAUUUACUCUUAAAUCUCAUUUGAGAUAGAAUAAACCAACUAAGUUAAAUCUAAUUAUUAUAAUCAAAGACAAAAAAAUUAACACUUAAAAUUACUCAUUUUUUUUUUUUACUUAUUCCUUAUUUAUUUGAGAAAAUUUGCUUCACUACUUAAAAGUAGUGAAAAUUUUCAUUACU